RNAcentral lists this ribosomal RNA (111 nucleotides) under Pogona vitticeps (central bearded dragon). Lineage: Eukaryota; Metazoa; Chordata; Lepidosauria; Squamata; Agamidae. The record is from RNAcentral.
CCUUGCCCUUUCUGAUAAAACAUCUGAUCUUCUCUGAUUUCAGAAGCUAAGCCAGUUUGGGCCUGGUGAGCAUGUGGAUGGGGGUGCAAUAGAGAACACUUGGUACAGUGC